This 75-nucleotide transfer RNA is filed under the name Microcaldota archaeon. RNAcentral's name for it is "tRNA-Lys". It matches the Rfam family "tRNA". From Rfam's summary of the family: Transfer RNA (tRNA) molecules are approximately 80 nucleotides in length. Their secondary structure includes four short double-helical elements and three loops (D, anti-codon, and T loops). The record is from RNAcentral. Lineage: Archaea; Nanobdellati; Microcaldota.
GGGCCUGUAACUCAGCUUGGCUAGAGUGGCUGGCUUUUAACCAGCAAGUCGCGGGUUCAAAUCCCGUCGGGCCCG